RNAcentral lists this ribosomal RNA (253 nucleotides) under uncultured bacterium. Its description in RNAcentral is "partial 16S ribosomal RNA". It matches the Rfam family "Bacterial small subunit ribosomal RNA", at positions 524 to 776 of the family's 1533-position model. The record is from RNAcentral.
UACGGAGGAUCCAAGCGUUAUCCGGAUUUAUUGGGUUUAAAGGGUGCGUAGGCGGCUUAUUAAGUCAGGGGUGAAAGACGGUGGCUCAACCAUCGCAGUGCCCUUGAUACUGAUGAGCUUGAAUACACUUGAGGUAGGCGGAAUGUGACAAGUAGCGGUGAAAUGCAUAGAUAUGUCACAGAACACCAAUUGCGAAGGCAGCUUGCUACACAGUUAUUGACGCUGAGGCACGAAAGCGUGGGGAUCAAACAGG